AAAUUGAAGAGUUUGAUCAUGGCUCAGAUUGAACGCUGGCGGCAGGCCUAACACAUGCAAGUCGAACGGUAACAGGAAGCAGCUUGCUGCUUUGCUGACGAGUGGCGGACGGGUGAGUAAUGUCUGGGAAACUGCCUGAUGGAGGGGGAUAACUACUGGAAACGGUGGCUAAUACCGCAUAAUGUCGCAAGACCAAAGAGGGGGACCUUCGGGCCUCUUGCCAUCAGAUGUGCCCAGAUGGGAUUAGCUUGUUGGUGAGGUAACGGCUCACCAAGGCGACGAUCCCUAGCUGGUCUGAGAGGAUGACCAGCCACACUGGAACUGAGACACGGUCCAGACUCCUACGGGAGGCAGCAGUGGGGAAUAUUGCACAAUGGGCGCAAGCCUGAUGCAGCCAUGCCGCGUGUAUGAAGAAGGCCUUCGGGUUGUAAAGUACUUUCAGCGGGGAGGAAGGUGUUGUGGUUAAUAACCGCAGCAAUUGACGUUACCCGCAGAAGAAGCACCGGCUAACUCCGUGCCAGCAGCCGCGGUAAUACGGAGGGUGCAAGCGUUAAUCGGAAUUACUGGGCGUAAAGCGCACGCAGGCGGUCUGUCAAGUCGGAUGUGAAAUCCCCGGGCUCAACCUGGGAACUGCAUUCGAAACUGGCAGGCUUGAGUCUUGUAGAGGGGGGUAGAAUUCCAGGUGUAGCGGUGAAAUGCGUAGAGAUCUGGAGGAAUACCGGUGGCGAAGGCGGCCCCCUGGACAAAGACUGACGCUCAGGUGCGAAAGCGUGGGGAGCAAACAGGAUUAGAUACCCUGGUAGUCCACGCCGUAAACGAUGUCUACUUGGAGGUUGUGCCCUUGAGGCGUGGCUUCCGGAGCUAACGCGUUAAGUAGACCGCCUGGGGAGUACGGCCGCAAGGUUAAAACUCAAAUGAAUUGACGGGGGCCCGCACAAGCGGUGGAGCAUGUGGUUUAAUUCGAUGCAACGCGAAGAACCUUACCUGGUCUUGACAUCCACAGAACUUUCCAGAGAUGGAUUGGUGCCUUCGGGAACUGUGAGACAGGUG
Molecule: ribosomal RNA, 1050 nt
Filed under: Salmonella enterica subsp. enterica serovar Brandenburg
Lineage: Bacteria; Pseudomonadati; Pseudomonadota; Gammaproteobacteria; Enterobacterales; Enterobacteriaceae
Description: bacterial SSU rRNA
Rfam family: Bacterial small subunit ribosomal RNA
Source: RNAcentral